RNAcentral lists this ribosomal RNA (494 nucleotides) under uncultured bacterium. Its description in RNAcentral is "partial 16S ribosomal RNA". It matches the Rfam family "Bacterial small subunit ribosomal RNA", at positions 28 to 507 of the family's 1533-position model. The record is from RNAcentral.
GACGAACGCUGGCGGCGCGCUUAACACAUGCAAGUCGAACGGAAAGGCCUGCUUUCCCUUGUGGAUUGCGGGUACUCGAGUGGCGAACGGGUGAGUAACACGUGAGUGAUCUGCCCCCAACUUGGGUAUAAGCCUGGGAAACUGGGUCUAAUUCCCGAUAGGACUGCAGGGUGGUGCCUGUGGUGGAAAACGAUUUUCUAGUGGUUGGGGAUGAGCUCGCGGCCUAUCAGCUUGUUGGUGGGGUAAUGGCCUACCAAGGCGGCGACGGGUAGCCGGCCUGAGAGGGUGGACGGCAAAAUUGGGACUGAGAUACGGCCCAGACUCCUACGGGAGGCAGCAGUGGGGAAUAGUGCACAAUGGGAGGAAGCCUGAUGCAGCGACGCCGCGUGGGGGAUGACGGCCUUCGGGUUGUAAACUCCUUUCGACCGCGAGGAAGCCACCUGGUUGGAAGGGUGGUGACGGUAGUGGUAGAAGAAGCACCGGCUAACUACGUG